Molecule: non-coding RNA, 89 nt
Organism: Lentinula edodes (shiitake mushroom)
Lineage: Eukaryota; Fungi; Basidiomycota; Agaricomycetes; Agaricales; Omphalotaceae
Source: the annotation of a RefSeq genome assembly
UGCCCCAUGGCUGAGUUGGUUACAGCGUCCGACUGUUAAUCAGGAAUGGUUGUAUCGGAAGGUCGAGAGUUCGAGCCUCUCUGGGGCAG